RNAcentral lists this ribosomal RNA (253 nucleotides) under uncultured bacterium. RNAcentral describes it as "partial 16S ribosomal RNA". It matches the Rfam family "Bacterial small subunit ribosomal RNA", at positions 524 to 776 of the family's 1533-position model. The record is from RNAcentral.
CACGUAGGGUGCGAGCGUUGUCCGGAAUUAUUGGGCGUAAAGAGCUCGUAGGCGGUUUGUUGCGUCGGCUGUGAAAUCCCGAGGCUCAACCUCGGGUCUGCAGUCGAUACGAGCAAACUAGAGUGUUGCAGGGGAGAGUGGAAUUCCUGGUGUAGCGGUGAAAUGCGCAGAUAUCAGGAGGAACACCGGUGGCGAAGGCGGGUUUCUGGGCAACAACUGACGCUGAGGAGCGAAAGCGUGGGGAGCGAACAGG